RNAcentral lists this ribosomal RNA (497 nucleotides) under uncultured bacterium. RNAcentral describes it as "partial 16S ribosomal RNA". It matches the Rfam family "Bacterial small subunit ribosomal RNA", at positions 28 to 507 of the family's 1533-position model. The record is from RNAcentral.
GAUGAACGCUGGCGGCGUGCCUAAUACAUGCAAGUCGAACGGACGGACGAGAAGCUUGCUUCUCUGAUGUUAGCGGCGGGCGGGGGAGUAACACGUUGAUAACCCACCUAUAAGACUGGGACAACUUCGGGAAACCGGAGCUAAUACCGGAGAAUAUUUUCAACAGCAUGGUUGAAAAGAUAAAUACGGUCUUGCUGUCAGUUUUAGAGGGUGUCGGGUUGCAUUAGCUGGUUGGGAUGGUAACGGCUUACCAAGGCAACGAUGCGUAGCCGACUUGAGAGAGGGAUCGGCCACACUGGAACUUGACCAGCGUCCAGACGCCUACGAGAGGCAGCAGUAGGGAAUCUUCCGCAGUGGGGGCAAGCCUGACGGAGCAACGCCGCGUCAGUGAUGAAGGUCUUCGGAUCGUAAAGCUCUGUUAUUAGUGAAGAACAUAUGUGUAAGUAAAUGUGCACAUCUUGACGGUACCUAAUCAGAAAGCACCGGCUAACUACGUG